Long non-coding RNA from Myxocyprinus asiaticus (Chinese sucker), 2467 nucleotides. RefSeq lists it as uncharacterized. The transcript has 3 exons. Lineage: Eukaryota; Metazoa; Chordata; Actinopteri; Cypriniformes; Catostomidae. The record is from RefSeq and is a predicted model, not a curated record.
UUUCGCUCGCUUUACUGCGCUGACGUCAUCAGACGGGAGAGUUUGCUGUCUUGGUUGCAGUUUUCAGCACAAGAAGCCGGUUGACUGGGAACGGUGGUGAAAUACACUCGCUGAGCACUUUAUUAGGAACACCUGUACAGCUACUUGAAAUCUAUAAAAUCAUGCAGAUACGGGUGAGGAGCUUCGGUUAAUGUUCACAUCAACCAUCAGAAUGGGGAAAAAAUCUGAUCUCAGUGAUUACGACCGUGGCAUGAUUGUUGGUGCCAGACAAGGUGGCUUGAGUAUUUCUGUAACUGCUAAGCUCCUGGGAUUUUCACGCACAACAGUCUCUAGAGUUUACUCAGAAUGGUGCCAAGAACAAAAAACGUCUAGUAAGCGGCAGUUCUGUGGACGGAAACGCCUUGUUGAUGAGAGAGGUCAGCGGAGGCUGGACAAACUGGUUCGAGCUGACAGAACAGCUACGGUAGCUCAGAUAACCACUCUGUACAAUUGUGGUGCGCAGAAAAGCAUCUCAGAAUUCACAACACGUCGAACCUUGAGGUUGAUGGGCUACAACAAGAGAAGACCACAUACGGUUCCUCUUCUGUCAGGGAACAAAAAGAAAGCUGAGGCCGAGGGUGAGACAGAGGGUGAGGCCGAGGUGGACACAGGCUCACCAAAACAGGACAGUUGAAGACUGGAAAAACGUAACCUUGUCUGAUUAAUCUUGAUUGUUGCUGAGGCGCACAGUUGGUAGGGUCAGAAUUUGAACAGCAUGAAUCCAUGGACCCAACCUGCUUUGUGUCAAUAGUCACUGAACAUGUGCAUCCCUCAAUGGCCACAAUUUGCCCAUCUUAUAAUGGUUACUUCCAGCAUGAUAAUGUCACCAUAUCACAAAGUAAAAGUGGUCUCAAUCUGGUUUCAUGAACAUGACAAUGAGUUCACUGUUCUUCAGUGGCCUUCCCAGUCACUGGAUCAGAAUCCAUCCUUUGGGAUGUGGUAGAACGGGAGAUUCGCAGCAUAAAUUGGAAGUUGACAAAUCUGCACAAAUUGCGUGAUGUCAACAUGGACCAGAAUCUCAAAGGAAUGUUUCCAACAUCUUGUGGAAUCAAUGCCAUGAAGAAUUGAGGCUGUUUUGAGAGCAAAAGGAGACCCUAACCAGUAUUAGUAUAAUGUUCCUAAUAAAGUGCUCAGUGAGUGCUCAUGGGACCAAGUGUUGCAUUCUGGCAGAGAGAUCCCAACCCCUACAGUAAUCAUGUUUUGAUGGAAGACAUCGUAUUUUAGGAAGUUACUCCAGACAACCGUCUCAUUUCCAGACAACUCUUGACCAAAACAAGCAGAUCUCCUUACUGGAGAAGUUUCAGCCUGCUCAAAUGGCACCGAAAGCUUAGGGGGUUACAGCCUCCUGAGUGUCAGAACUCGCACCGUGUAUGCCCGGUCUUACUCGUGAUUUGUGUGAAAGUGAAUGAAAAUCGUUGUUUUGGCGCCUCUAGUGUUAAUUUCACCAGAAAACUGUCAUGAUACGUACAACAAGACAAGCCACGUAAAUGUUUUUGACAAAAAUGUAGGUAUAGAAAUUGUAUUCUGACACCAUGUUGCAGGAUCCUGCAUCUCACAAUGCAAUGUGCUUGAGUGUGAUAAGUGAACCAGAAGUAGCUAAAUAUCAGCCACAAUUUAGUUCACACAAAAAUGUAAGUUUUGUUAUUUACUUUUUAUGUUUUCCAAACCCAUAUGACCUUUAUCAUACAUAUAAAAUUGGCAUACAAUGAAAGUAAAGGGUUACUGGGGCUAAAAUUAUGCCUAGCAUCUUUUGUGUUCCACGGAUGGGUUUGGAACAACAUGAGGGUGAGUAAAUGACAGAAUUGUCUUGACUGAAAGAGUUAAGGUGUUUAUACAAUAUUUGGUUAAAGUGAAUGACGUUUUAUUUGCGAGAUAAGUGGACACCACUUGCGACACAUUGCUUGAAAUGUUUGUUGCAUAAUACAUUCUGUUUCGCAUACUAUUUUAAAAAUGUAUUACUAGGUAGUGUGCAUACUAAUUGUAUACAGUACACAACACUGUGCUCUGUUGUUCACAGCACAUAUCAGCUUUUGUAGAAGGUCAUCAUAAUAUAUGCAUAAUUUUUAUAAUAUGCAGAGUAUACAUACUAAAUACUGCAGAAAUAGGACUAGCAUGGUAGUAUCAAUGACUGGUGCAUCUAAACAUUAAACCAAUUAAUGGCUUUAUUAUUUCAUCACAUUGCCAGUUUGGUGGUGAGUUUAAAUGUUCAAGUAAGUGGCAUUCCUUAGGACCAAAUCGAUUUUGUGAUUUGUCAAAGGUAAAAAUGUCUUGCAUGUGUUGUUCUUUGUGAAUAUUACUGAUUGCAUUUGGUAUGAAGCCUAUAAUGUACUUUGUAUGCAAUGCUUUAGUGAAACUAUAGAAUCAUUUGGUUGUUGCAUUUAUAAUUUUGCUGUGAUGUUGUGAAAUAAAACAUUGCUUUUGAAUAUUA